Brassica rapa (field mustard) is the source of this 7706-nucleotide long non-coding RNA. RefSeq lists it as uncharacterized. The record is from RefSeq and is a predicted model, not a curated record. NCBI's taxonomy places the organism in Eukaryota, Viridiplantae, Streptophyta, Magnoliopsida, Brassicales, Brassicaceae.
AAAAUGAUGAAAGUUGCUUUCAAACCUUGGUUUAUUGGUUUCGUUAUGCUCGCAAUUCUUCUGUUUGGAGAAAGGGCUAUUGCUCGGACAGGAGAAAAUAGGUGGUGUUUCACAACUUUAACACCUAUACCAUCAUCAAAAAAUCCCAACCCUCCAAGAUGUACUCCCGAUAGCUGUGAAGCCUUAUGUCUCAAAAAGAAAAAAGCACUGAUAAGUAAAUGCCUUAGAAUAAAUUACGGAUGCAUGUGUCGGAUUGACUGCGCUAACUGAUUUUUUAUCAAUAUUAUUAAUUCAGAAUCACUCUUAUUAUUUACCCUUCUAAUACCGUGGAAUAUUACUUAAAAUGCCAUCAGAUUUUCAAACAACUCAUUUGCCCUCAUUAAUGUUAGAAUGGUAAUUAACCACUUCCAUUAGCAACGAAUUUUAUGCAACCGUAAUGUACUUCUUCUUUCUUAUAACUAACCGUAAUGCUUACAAAAAAUAACUAACCGUAAUAUACUUAAUACAUAAAAAAUUGAGAGGUACAUAUUAUUCAUCAGUACGAAACGUAUACAGCCUCCACGAAAUAUUCCUCUGAUAAGGACACUUAUGCAAUCCAAACACAAACCCACAUUCAAUAAUAUUUGUUAGUUUUAGACAAAAAGAAAUAUUUGUUAUCUUAAUAAUAUAUAAUAAAAAUAUUUAUUAUUAUCAUGACAUACAAUUACCCAACAACCCAUAAAUCAGUAUAUAUAAAUAGCAAAUAUAUAUAACUUAAUAAUAUAUAGUUUUCAAAUCAAAUUAAAAUUUAAACCAAAAAAAAUCCAUGAAUCAAUUAAGAUAAAUAAUAAAUAACAAUAACUUUUUUAUAAGAUUAUUAAAUUAAGUAAUUAUUUCACGGAUAUUUAAAAUUAAAAUUCAUCAGUUAUUUUUUUAAACAUAAACGCCUGAGUCUUUGGAAUAGGUUUGGUUCAAUUUUUUUAGGUCUGGUUUUUUUGGACUGCAGACAUUUGGAUCUAACUAUAAAAACACACAAACAUAUAAAUUAUAUUAGGCAAAAAAUUUAAAAACAAAAAAUAUACCCGCCCUCUCGAGGGCGGGUCAAUAUCUAGUAUACAUUAAAACUCGAAUAAUAUUUAUAAUAAUACUAUGUAUUUGUCAUAAAUAAAUAUAAAUAACAAAUAUUGAUACAUGUAUCUUCAUCUCCUUUUCUUCUUGUUCAAGUAUUUAAAAUUAUUAUCUAACUCACAUAACCAUAAUAAACCGUUUAUACUGAAUUGAUCAAUCGUUACUGACGUAACAUAAUAAAUUGAUGUUGACAUUGACUUACUAUGACAAAAUAACCAAUUUUAUAUCGACUAUAAGAACUAACACACAUAAUUGUGUCAAUAACUUACGCACAACAACAUCAUAUUUUAUGAUAAUUAUAAAGUUAUAUCAAAAAAAAGUGCACCUAAUGUUUUUCUUAUAUGAGAGAGUUCUGAUUUUAAUCAAUUAUGUUUGGUGACAAAAUAUAGUAGAGUUUUAUCUUAUAUAUAGAUGUGAAUUAUUCUAAUCCCUUCAGUUACAAAAAAAAAGAAAAGAAUAUUGUAAUCCUUUUUGGAUUAUGAUUUCUUAAACAUAAAAUUUACUAUUUAAAUAAGAAAGUUUAUUAUUAUAUGGAAAUAUUUGAAAUACUUGUUUUACAUUUUUUGUUUAGAUUUGAAGAAAAAAGAAAACUACAAUUAAACAGUCUUUAACAAUUUUUUUUGUAGAAGAUUUUAUAAAAGGAUAAUUACUAUCAAACAAAUUUUUACAAUUAUAUUUUCUUUAUGAUUUUAGAAAACGAAAAUUAUUAUUAAGUAAAUUACUAUACAUUUUUUAAGAAUUGUAAAAAAGAAAAAAUCAGAAAAUGGAAAUUAUUGUCAACUAAAAACUAUCAAAUUAUGUUUUGCUAUUAUCUUUGUUUAGGAUUUUAAAAAGGAAAAUUACUAUUAAAGAAUUUUGUGUUAUUAUCUUAUUAUAUUUAUAUGAUUAAUUAUGAUAUAUUAAGCAAUUAUGUUUGGUCACAAAAUAUAGGAGAGUUUAAUCUUAUAUAUAGAUGUGAAUAAUUGUAAUCCUUUCAGUUACAAAAAAUAAUGUAAUCCUUUUUGGAUUAUGAUUUCUUAAACAUAAAUUUAGUAUUUAAAUAAUAGAGUCUAUUAUUAUAUGAAAAUAUUUGAAAUACUUAUUUUACAUUUUUUUAGAUUUGAAAAAAAGAGAAAACUACAAUUAAACACUUUUUAACCAAUUUCAUUUUGUAGAAAAUUUUAUAAAGGGAUAAUUACUAUCAAACAAAUUUUCAAAUUUAUAUUUUUUUAUUUUAGAAAACGAAAAUUAGUAUUAAGUAAAUUAUUAUACAUAUUUUUUUUAGGAAUUGUAAAAAGGAAAAAAAUAUAAAAAUGAAAUUAUUGUCAACUAAAAAAAACUAUCAAAUAAUCUUUUGAUGUUAUCUUUAUUUAGUAUUUUAAAAAACGAUUUUACAAAACGAAAAAUUACUAUUAAGUAAAUUAUUAUACAUAUUUUUUGUUUAGGAAUUGUAAAAAGGAAAAAAAAAAUUAGAAAAAGGAAAUUAUUGUCAAGUAAAAACCAUCAAAUAAUCUUUUGCUAUUAUUAUCUUUGUUUAGUAUUUAAAAAGGAAAACUACGAUUAAAUAAUUCUUUUGUGUUAUUAUCUUAUUAUAUUUAUAUUAUUAAAUAUGAUAAAUUUUAACACAUAUCAUCAUCUUAAAUUUUUAAUUGUCAUGUGUCAUCGUCAUGUUAAUUAACAACUUUGAAAAACUAAGCUUUGUAUAGUAAGAUUAGAUCUCUUUUUAUAUAGGGUUAUACAAAUCAUAACCCUACGAAUAUUUGAAAAACUGCUUAAAGUAUCUUAAAAGGAAAAAUACCAAAACUCUAUUCUUAAUGCUUUAAGGAAAUAUUACUUUUGAAUCUUAUUUCUUAUGUAUGUGAUACCAUAGCGUGUAUCAUAAACAUGUAAGGAUGGAAGAUAAACUAUGAUCUAAUAUUUGAUACACAAACUCAGACUCCUCCACAUCCCACGUGACAAUGAUCCCACAAGAGAAAAAUGGAUGAACCUUGCACUUAGGAAAAGCGAUCUGACAAAAAUAUUUGUUUUCCUGCUGUAGACUCCACUUCCAACAAAUCCACUAUUGCCCCAACAAGAAGUAUCACACGGCUGAAGAUCAAACUCCAUACGAAGCAAAGCUCACUCUUUUUUCUCCUAGUAUUAAAAAGACCAAGAUAAUCCUUUCCUGCCCAAGUGAUAGACUCCAUCCCGUACGUCAAUGAAUUUUUUUUCAAAUCUAUGCUUCGACUCACUUGAAGCGGUGAAACAACGAUCAAUCUACAUGGAGAGAAAGUCAGAUCGCAUACCAACAAAAAUCAUAAAUUAUCAAAGAAAAAUCUCCAUUCGUUACUCCUUUCAUUGUGGAUCACAUCUGUGUCUUGUUCCAUGCUUUUCGAAACACCAAAUUGCUCACGUCACCGUAAUUCCAUGAAAACCAGAAAUACUUUUUUUUAUAUGCGGCAUAGACACACAUCACCGGUAACAUAUUAUUUGCCCACCCCUGCGUGCUGAUGUGGCUUAACGAGGAAAGAGCAUACCCAACUUUAUUAUUAUAGAUUUUAUGAUAUUUUGUUCUUUUGAAAACUGAAUUCUCAAUUUUUUUUAUAUUUGACUAAACUAAAUAAAGUAAUACUAUAUUUAAAAUUGUUUUACAUAAUAUAUAUACUAUAUAUUUUAGUUUUAGUUUUUAUUUUCACCACAAAGAAACGACAAAAUUGUAAUUAAUUAAUUUAAAUUGAUUUUAAAUACAGUGAUGAAAUGUGUAAAUAAAAACGAAAUACAAAACUGAAGUAUUUAAUUUAUUAUAAAUACAUUGACUAAAUGUGUAAAUAAAAAUAAAUAUUUAAUCUACUACAUGUGUCUCCAAACAAUUCUCAUUUAUUAUGUUAUCCAUGUUUCCAAACAAUACCAAAAUUAUAUUAAUUUUAAUAAUAUAGAUAGAUACACGUUUUGGCAUUAUUUUAUUUGGUGGUAAAAACGUGCCUACUUUUGUGAACAAAACAGUUCGAAAAACCAACUUAUAGUGCAAUGCUAUUUAUUACGAGGACCAAGUACAUUAUAUAUUUGGAAAUAAUGUGGGUGAUGUGUAUGAUGAGCAUCAGAGAAAUUUAUAUUAUGAUAUGGUUACAAAUGUAUUUUUAUGAAACUGUAAUUUCUGAUAAUAGCAGGGAAGAACUUAACAUGCAAAACAGUUUUAUAAUACACUGCAAAAAAAACCAUCUAAGAAACAUGUAGGGCAGGGCAUUAUAGAUUGUCAUUGGCAUCCUUCUCGACAUCCAUCGAUCAAUCCAAUAUAUAAAAUAGAAAUCAAUACAAAAACCAAAGGAGUUCCAAGAAGAUUCUGAAGGAAUUCUUUUAUAUUUUUUUAACCUAAGAGAAAACCUAAAAUAAAAUAAUAUAAAUCAUAAAAGAAAGAAUACCCUAAACAACAACUAAUAAAACACAUAAAUAGAAUUUUGAGUUGGCCAAAGGCAUCCUGUUAAUUUGUGGUGACUUCUGGGUCUCAGUCGGUCUUGAAAUAGACUCGGCCAUCUACUUUCAUCAGUGUCGAUCGACACCAAAGGGUCAUUAUUGAUCGACACUCCUUCAUUUCUUCGACAGUUUCCUCUCGCGAGUUUGACAUACCAUUCUUCAGUGAAAUGAUCAUAACUCUAUAUUUAACCUUCAGAUGGACCUCAAACCGAUGGAAUAGGAAAGGUAACUCAAAUAUCUAUCUUGUGUCAAAAUAUGAGCUCAAUCCCAGCGUGGGAAGGUCUCCGUCCAUCGCCAAAUUUCGGACACGUCUUUACAGUUCUGCAACUCAAAUAAUUCUGAAAUCAACAAAGUUCCUCAAACGUAUGUGAACCUGAAAUGACUCUAAAAUAGACUCCAAACAUAUAUAAUAGACUAUAUAUAUUAUAUAAAUUCUGAAUCUGUGACUUAAUCGAAUUAUUGUUUAUGCAUAUCAAAAAUACUUUAAAUUAAAUAUAAAAAGGCUAUUUUUAUUUAAUAAAUUUAAAAACAAGUGGUUGUGAUUUUUUGUUUUUGUCAAACUAGAUCCGUUUAUAUUGGAAUUUGAAAAGAUGUAUAGCUUAAAUUAGACUUGUUUCAAUUUGUGAUUCAUCUAUAAAUGUACUUCUAUGUCGUUCUAAUUUUUAAAACACCAUUAUUUCAUUAUCAAAAAUGAAAGUUGCUUUCAAACCUUGGUUUAUUGGUUUCGUUAUGCUCGCAAUUCUUCUGUUUGGAGAAAGGGCUAUUGCUCGGACAGGAGAAAAUAGGUGGUGUUUCACAACUUUAACACCUAUACCAUCAUCAAAAAAUCCCAACCCUCCAAGAUGUACUCCCGAUAGCUGUAAAGCCUUAUGUCUCAAAAAGAAAAAAGCACUGAUAAGUAAAUGCCUUAGAAUAAAUUACGGAUGCAUGUGUCGGAUUGACUGCGCUAACUGAUUUUUUAUAUACAUUAAAACUCGAAUAAUAUUUAUAAUAAUACUAUGUAUUUGUCAUAAAUAAAUAUAAAUAACAAAUAUUGAUACAUGUAUCUUCAUCUCCUUUUCUUCUUGUACAAUUGUAAAAAUUAACAAAAAAAUAUAGGGACAUUUGCUAAAAACAACCCAAAUAUUCAAGUCAAAUCUAAAAGUGUACCCCACUUUCAGUCAAAUACAAAACCAACUUAAAAGGAUAGUGAAAAUACUAGUUAACCCUUAUGACCAAACAAAAAAACAGAAAUGUAUUUUACGUUUCUAUCCUUCGGAAGUCUACACGUAAUAAAAGAAGUCUACAUAUAUAUAGAUUUCCUACGAUGUCUACCUUAUAGACUUAUUUUGUAGUCUACACUCUAAUUUGAUCUAAUAAUUUAAUUUUGAAAAUGUAUAAAAAUAAUUAUUGUGAUAUUUUUAACUAAUCAUCAAUAUAAUGGAUAACAUGAACUAAAUAAAUUAAAAUUUCAUAUAAUUGAACAAUUUUGAAGAAUAUAUACUAAUUUGGUUAUCAUGUGUUAGACAAUGUUCAUAGUUUAGAAACAAAAUGUUCUUACAUGUUAUGUCUUUUAGUGGUUGAUUUCAUAGGGUUGGAUUUUAGAUUUUGUUUUUUUAUUGUUUUGUUAUCUUAAAUCUGCAUAGUAAUGUUUAGUAGUUUAUAUUUUGUACAAUUGAGACUUUUUGAUUAUCAAGCAAAACAUUUAGUGUUUGAGAUUUGUGGUUUAGGGUUUAGGGUUUCGUAGACCUACAAUAAAGUCUAUUUAUCUGCAGACGUCCUUUUCAGUCUAUUUUAUUGGUAUUUACAAAAUAUCUUAAAUUUUAAAUUAAAUUUAGGGUAUAGUAGACGUCUUUUUGGUCUACUAGGAUACAAUUGAUUAAUUUAGGGUAUAGUAGACGUCUUUUUUAGUUUAAUAAGACCUGAAAUUACAAAAAAGAUUGAUUAAAUUUUGUUUUUAUGGAAACGGAAAUGAUAUCAUAUAUUAAACUUAUUAUAAAAAUAAAGAAAAAAUAAAUAAAUUAUAUAUAUAUAAAUAAAGAACAAAAAAAUAAAUUAUUCAAAUAUAUAAAAAUAUAUAUAAAAAAUUGUAAUAGACAUACCGAUUGUAGACCUACUUGUGUGUCUACAGAACCGGAAACAAUUUAAUUUAACCAAAAUAAUAUAAUCUAACAAGUAUUAAACCAGAAAAGUUUUAACCUAACCGGAUAACUUUCCCGACAUAUAAAUACAAUUUUUAGUCUUCAUUUGGUAAAAAAAGACAAACCCUAGCGGCCGUUACUCUCUCUCUCUCUCUCUCUCUCUCUCUCUCUCUCUCUCUCUCUCUCUCUCUCUCUCUCUCUCUCUCUCUCUCUCUCUCUCGGGCGAUUUCCGGUGAAGUCAACCCGUUUCUGCCGCUUACACUGGUUGCCGUCCCGCUGCUGCUGCUAUAUCUUCCCUCUGCAAGAUCUGAGCCGGCGAAGGAACAUUGUGUAUGUAUGUCUCUCUAUCCAACUGUUGGGCUUUUGAAGGGCUUGAGAAAGAAGAGGGCCACCUCAAAACAACUAAUCACAACAAUAUUGUAACUUCAGCUCGUUCAGCUUCUCUACUCUUUUCAAGAGAAAUCAUGAGUAGGCUAUAAGCAAUCUAGCUAGAGUAGUGAUGAUUCUUCUGCCAUAACCGGCAUUGACAGCUUGCUGGCAAGUGAGGUGCCUAUCGGUUAUCAGGCUGGGACUUUCACUUUAGAGGACUGACCUACCGUCUUGGCAUGGCUCGGUCUAGGCGUUUAAGAGAGAUUCUCCACCGGUUGUAGACUUCAAUAGCGAUCUUGAAACUCUCUGAGACGAGAAAAUUGCAAGAAGGCGGAAGCUUUGUAUCCACUGUCAAUACUGUAUCACAACCAACUGUUACGGACAUUGCAGCAUCAGUAUGUCUAUGGAGUUCUUGUAUUUUAAGCCAUGGCCACAUUCAUUGGCCAAGUCUAUGUUCUAUCGUUGAUUGCACUCUUUGUGGCCGCUUCAACUGCCCUGAUUGUGCAACCAUUUUUUGGCUAGAAUUGGAGGAUAUGAAGUUUUUGGUAAUAGGUGUUUGUAUUAUAUGCCUUUGUACUAGCUAUAUUGUAUUGUGCUUUUGUAUCACUGCUGUAUUAUGUAAUUUUCUUGGAUAUUCUGUACUGAAGUGUACUCGACCGAAAGUAGACUUGUUUAAUACAA